This is a non-coding RNA of Triplophysa rosa, 1571 nucleotides long. The record is from the annotation of a RefSeq genome assembly. NCBI's taxonomy places the organism in Eukaryota, Metazoa, Chordata, Actinopteri, Cypriniformes, Nemacheilidae.
AACACAACACAAUCUUCAUCAACACACAAACCAACAAGAACAACAAUGACUUUCAGCAUCAUCUUCAUCUGGACGCUCACAGUGUUUGCUCAAGAGUGUAGAGGACAGUACACUGUUACUCAGAGUCCAUCAACAACAGCAGUUCAACCAGGACAACAUGUUCAAAUAAAGUGUAAAGUCAGCAGUGCAGUAUACACAGAUAGCCAUGGUCCCCGAAUGAGCUGGUACUUACAGAAACCUGGAGAAGCUCCUAAACUCCUCAUAUAUCUCGCAACAAGCCGCCAGUCUGGAGUAUCAUCUAGAUUCAGUGGCAGUGGAUCAAACACAGAUUUUACUCUGAGCAUCAGUGGAGUUCAGACUGAAGAUGCAGGAGAUUAUUACUGUCAGAGUUUUCACAGUGGCAGUACCUAUGUGUUGACACAGUGAUAAAGAGUCGUACAAAAACCUCCGUCAGUCAGACUGAACAGUGACUGCACUGACACACUUCACACAUACUGCAGCUGCUCAUACAACACAAUGACUUGAUGUAGCAACAUUCUUUCAAUUAGACUUUUUUAUUACAAUUACUACAGUUUGUAAUUAAUUUAAAAAAAUGUUUUAUUUAUUUAUUUACUGGUUAAUUUUUGAUCAAUGUAAAAUCUUGUCAGUUAUUUAUUGUCUGUCUUCGUUCGUUUAUUUCUUCCUUUUUUCUCUCUUGUUACCUUCCAUUUAAAACACUCGUAAAAUAAUGACACGUGAAUGUAGUUCAACAUCUCUAAAUAAAUAACAACAUAUUCUAUGAUCACUACAUAGUUGAGGCUCUAAAUGAGAUUUUUUUAAAUAUAUAAUUUACUCUACCUGCAGGUGUUGUUCAUGGUUUAUUGAGUGGCAUUCAUUUAUUAAAUGUGAGCUGAUGUUCUGGGCCACGUUUCCCAAAUCCUUCUUAUCGCUAUGCCGUUCUUACGUUAUACCUUAACCUGCACCUUAUCGUCAAUGUGUGUUUCCUGAAACCUUCUCAGCUACACUCAUUUCACAAUUAAAUAAAAUCCAUGGUUGGUUUUAGUUUGCAAUUUGGUUUAUUUGUAUCCUAUGAGUCCUAAUAAAUGCAGCUUCAACUAUUUAAAUUAUCAGUAAUAAAGACAAAACUGAAGUCAUUGUAUUUGGUAACAAGGAUGAAACUAACUAGGUAAACACGUACCUUGACUUAAGAGGUCUAAAGACACAAAGUAAGAUAAAAAAUCUUGGUGUCAGUUUAGAGUCUGACCUUAGUUUCAGCAGUCAUGCCAAAGCAAUAAGCAAAUCAGCCUACUAACAUCUCAGAAACAUAACCAGAAUCAGUUGUUUUGUCUCAAACCAAGAUUUAGAGAAACUAGUUCAUGCUUUCAUCACCAGCAGGGUGGAUUACAGUAAUGGACUCCUUACACAUCUUCCCAAGAAGACCGUCAGACAGCUGCAGCUCAUACAGAACGCUGCUGCCAGGAUUCUGACCAGAACCAAAAAGUCAAGGGUUCACUCAAAACAAGGCGAGUCAGCGUUUAGCCAUUACGCCACCUGUAGCUGGUCAGAUGUUCACCAACAGUAGCUUUUAAAUC